UGGGAAAUAAGAGAUAGAUGAUAAAAGAUGACCUAGGCCCUGUAUAACUUGGAGUUACCAUGGACUCCAAUCAUCAAUUAGCAUUGAACAUCUCUAAUCAGUAUUCUACGAUUAUCCUAAGUUAAAGGACGAUCUAUUUGUAAGAACAGGAUGCUAUGAGUCAUUUAAAAACUCAAUUUUCCGCUCAUCAUCACAAUUACACAAAAACGUGAUCAUUUGAAGACAAUGAAAAAAACUGCACGCUCGCAAACUCUACAGGGAGUACAAUAACAGCCUGGACAUAUUUUUGCUGGAUGGACGAAGUAUUCAUCACCGACGGCGUGGCAGCGACCAAGAUUCAACAUGUCUUCCAAAUCACAUCUAAAAUUA
Danaus plexippus (monarch butterfly) is the source of this 369-nucleotide long non-coding RNA. RefSeq lists it as uncharacterized. The transcript is spliced from 3 exons. Lineage: Eukaryota; Metazoa; Arthropoda; Insecta; Lepidoptera; Nymphalidae. The record is from RefSeq and is a predicted model, not a curated record.